Molecule: small nuclear RNA, 252 nt
Filed under: Erinaceus europaeus (western European hedgehog)
Lineage: Eukaryota; Metazoa; Chordata; Mammalia; Eulipotyphla; Erinaceidae
Description: 7SK RNA
Rfam family: 7SK RNA
About the family: 7SK was discovered as an abundant small nuclear RNA in the mid-70s but a possible function has only recently been suggested. Two independent studies have found that 7SK RNA binds the CDK9/cyclin T complex (known as elongation factor P-TEFb). P-TEFb activates transcription by phosphorylating the C-terminal domain of RNA polymerase II.
Source: Rfam by way of RNAcentral
GGAUGUGAGGGUGAUCUGGCUGUGACAUCUGUCAUCCCAUUGAUCUCCAGUGAGCUCUGUCAAAGAGGAUGGCCUUCCCCAAACUUGAGACCCACCGGUCUUAGGUCUUUGGUUGAGGGUAGCUACAUUCCCCUGCUAAAACUUCCAAACAAGCUCUCAAGGUCCAUUUGUAGAAUAACAUAGGGUAGUCAAGCUUCCAAGACUGCAGACACAUCCAAAUGAAGUGCUACAUGUGGCAGUCUGCCUUAAAAU